CACUUGAUGGUACAUGGUGUACACCUGCUUCAAUUGCAGGAGUAGAUGUACUAAAGAGCAGGAGGUCCCGGUUCGAUUCCGGGUCAGGUGA
Mycena filopes is the source of this 91-nucleotide non-coding RNA. The record is from the annotation of a GenBank genome assembly. NCBI's taxonomy places the organism in Eukaryota, Fungi, Basidiomycota, Agaricomycetes, Agaricales, Mycenaceae.